GAACGCUGGCGGCGUGACCUAACACAUGCAAGUAGAACGGAGUUAUUAUUAGGAAGUUUCGGAUGGAAUAAUAAUAACUAGUGGCGGACGGGUGAGUAACGCGUGGGUAACCUGCCUCACGACAGGGGGAUAACAGUUGGAAACGACUGCUAAAACCGCAUAAGCAUACAUUGUCGCAAUGACAGAGUGUGAAAAAUAUUUAUAGGUGUGAGAUGGGCCCGCGUCUGAUUAGCUAGUUGGUAGGGUAACGGCCUACCAAGGCGACGAUCAGUAGCCGGCUUGAGAGAGUGACCGGCCACAUGGGACUGAGACACGGCCCAAACUCCUACGGGAGGCAGCAGUGGGGAAUAUUGCACAAUGGGGGAAACCCUGAUGCCAGCGACGCCGCGUGAGUGAAGAAGUAUUUCGGUAUGUAAAGCUCUAUCAGCAGGGAAGAAAGUGACGGUACCUGACUAAGAAGCCCCGGCUAACUACGUGCCAGCCGCCGC
RNAcentral lists this ribosomal RNA (488 nucleotides) under uncultured bacterium. RNAcentral's name for it is "bacterial SSU rRNA". It matches the Rfam family "Bacterial small subunit ribosomal RNA", at positions 31 to 518 of the family's 1533-position model. The record is from RNAcentral.